UCAUUCGGAUUCGCCAUCAUACGUCCAACCGUGCAUUUGAUAUGCAUAUAUAUAUGCAUCACGAGCAACGGUUGGGCUGUAUGAUGGCGAUACCGAUUGG
This 100-nucleotide microRNA precursor is filed under the name Triticum aestivum (bread wheat). Its description in RNAcentral is "MIR9666 microRNA precursor family". It matches the Rfam family "MIR9666 microRNA precursor family". Lineage: Eukaryota; Viridiplantae; Streptophyta; Magnoliopsida; Poales; Poaceae. The record is from Rfam by way of RNAcentral. RNAcentral also lists the same sequence under 1 other name.